RNAcentral lists this ribosomal RNA (496 nucleotides) under uncultured bacterium. RNAcentral's name for it is "partial 16S ribosomal RNA". It matches the Rfam family "Bacterial small subunit ribosomal RNA", at positions 29 to 507 of the family's 1533-position model. The record is from RNAcentral.
AUGAACGCUGGCGGCGUGCCUAAUACGUGCAAGUCGAGCGAACGGACGAGAAGCUUGCUUCUCUGAUGUUAGCGGCGGACGGGUGAGUAACACGUGGAUAACCUACCUAUAAGACUGGGAUAACUUCGGGAAACCGUAGCUAAUACCGGAUAAUAUUUUGAACCGCAUGGUUCAAAAGUGAAAGACGGUCUUGCUGUCACUUAUAGAUGGAUCCGCGCUGCAUUAGCUAGUUGGUAAGGUAACGGCUUACCAAGGCAACGAUGCAUAGCCGACCUGAGAGGGUGAUCGGCCACACUGGAACUGAGACACGGUCCAGACUCCUACGGGAGGCAGCAGUAGGGAAUCUUCCGCAAUGGGCGAAAGCCUGACGGAGCAACGCCGCGUGGGUGAUGGAGGUCUUCGGAUCGUAAAACUCUGUUAUUAGGGAAGAACAUAUGUGUAAGUAACUGUGCACAUCUUGACGGUACCUAAUCAGAAAGCCACGGCUAACUACGUG